UCCUCGUAAGGCCCAACGUCCUAUUUUUAGGACUGAGAAAUGUAGUCCUUCCGGCCCAAGCAACUAUAUUAAUUUAUCAAUUAGCGGCCCAGAGUCCUAAAAUUAGGUCAUUCACUUCUGACACGUACCGAUCCUAAAUCUUUGCGUGUAAAGAAGCCUUUAUUUCUUAAAUAUGGCGGAAUUGAACGCAGCUAUUAUGAUUACCUGUCAGUUUGACGUUUGACAAUCAAAUGACAGUCUUUUGGCACGCGGAUGUUGGGAAGAUGGCGUCCUCGCGAAAACGUUGCUUGAGGGAUGCAGAAUUAGAAAAUUAUUUAAAUCUUAUCUUUACCCAGUCAACAAUUCAGGACAUACGGUGCACUUCAUAUGCCAUUAGCUGGUGAACAACAAAAUAGAUGUAGGAGGCCAGAGUGUAAUAAAAAAAAGAAACUUGAUCUCAUCCUUAAUAAAGACUAAAGUGCAAUUGUUAAACAAAGUUGAGGCUGAUGUGAUAAUAUUUUAGAAGAAAGUACUUUUUGUUGAUGUUUAGAAUACAUAAGUUUAGAUUUUUUGUACAACUGUAAUGUACUACCUACCUAUACAUAAAUAAAAAUAAUUAUAAAAUAUG
Molecule: long non-coding RNA, 607 nt
Organism: Cydia pomonella (codling moth)
Lineage: Eukaryota; Metazoa; Arthropoda; Insecta; Lepidoptera; Tortricidae
Exons: 2
Source: RefSeq, a predicted model, not a curated record